AAACUCUUACUGGAAAACGUGAUUAUUAGAAGCCUGGCGUCGAGAACACUGAAGAUGCAGCAGAUGGCGCAAAAGAGAUUCUAAAGGAUCAGAACAUACUCUUUUUGGUACAACUCAUCAUUUGGAAUUUGUGCAAACAUGGUAUAUUAACAAAAUGGAUCUUUCAUUGCCAGGGUUUUUCAAGAAUUUUGCUAUAAGCUUAACAGAUGAAGAACCGAGUCCAGAAGAAUUCAAAUGUGAGCAGAUUUAUUGUGGUUAUAUGGAUGACAUACUAAAUACAGAUCAGGCCUGGAAGGAAGUGGAAUUAUGGCAUAUCCAUUAUAACAACUGGACAAACAUACAGAGAAAGUUCAAGGCUGCUACUAGAUGGAAAGUAUUAUCAGAAGAAGUCUUUAUAAAAUUGCCAUAUGGGCAGACAAUUCUUUUGCAAGAUGUUAUACGUUCUCUAGGAGAAAAUUCUCCCUAGGUUUGCAUGGAUUUUGUUUUAUACACAAGUUAUAAUUUAAUGAAACUUUUUAAUCUAAAUUUCAUAUGUAUGAAAUAUAUUGUUAGUUUUCAGUUUUUUAAACACAUCUACAUAGCUGACUUAUAAGAUUAUUUAUUAUCAUACAUUAUUUAAAUGAAUCUCUUUGUUUAGCAACUAAUAUUGAGUUUAAAUUUCAUAUGUGUGAAAGAUGUUAAACUUGUUAAAAGUUUUAGAAAUGCUUUUUAUACAGCUAGUUUAUUAAAUUAUGCAAAAACAUAUGUGCAUAAUACUUUUGUCUGUAUUUUAGUUAUAAAUCAAAUUAAAAUGCUAUAAAAUAUAAAUUUUUAUUAUUUCAUUCAUUCCUUUUUCUCCCCUACAAAAAAAAAAAAAAAAAAAAAAAAAUAUUAAAUGAGAGGCCAUUGAGAACAAAAAAUAAUAAACAGUAAUCUGUAAAAGUCUUUAUGUCAAAAUUCUCUAAAAAAAGAAAAUUUUAUAUGAUGCUUGGAAAGGAGGAAAGACAAACUUAUUCAGUUGCACUACAGCCUUUCAUAGUCCAAGUGUGCAGGCAAGUUUUAGAAGGCAGGCACAAAUUAGUGUUGUGCUCCAUCAAGAUAUUGUGAACUGUGCUACGUUUCUUCUUUGGCCGAAGGGAAUGUGCAGGCAAGCCUCAAUAUUUAUUUAACAUCAAGUCUGUUCACAGCGACCGCUCAAUGAUAGAGUGAAAUAGAAGGCUACAAUUGGUUUCUCUUCCUUCUGUUGCUGGGCUCCGAGGGUGUAGGACGGUCUUCUGGUUGUCCUUACCCAGGAUGACGCGUGAGCCAUUUUGUUCUUUUUCGACCGCCAUCUCAAUAUUGUAUGAAGAGCAAUAUAUUCCUCCUAUAAAGAAAUUAGUACUGAAGGUUCAACUAAAAUAAUGUAGACUAACUGCCGCUGUAAAUUGACGAUGUUCUACAAUUAAAAAAAUCCUCGAAAGGACUUCAUGUGCACGUGUUCCACUUUCCGGAUGAUAUGAUUAUUCACCUUGUGUUUCUUCAAAAAUAUACUGGAAUAACCAGUCAACUCAAUUUCCGUCAUUAUAUAAUUUACUUUUUUUAUCACGGAACUUUGCUUGACGUUGAUGUAAUGAGAUCUACUUGGAUUGGAACAUGACGCACGUCUCGUACGAAAAGUUAGGAUUCAAAAAAUGGUAGGACUGCGACUUUCGGCCUCUACAUGAUCACGACUGAUAUUCUUCUGUCUGGCGAUAUUUAUUCAAUUUAUGCUGGUACCGAUUCAAAAUUUAAUGAUGCCAAGAUAUAAUAAAUAUUAUUUAAUUUACAUUAUCUGAAUUGUCAUCCUUUGGGAGUAAGUUAUUAGUAUUUCUGGCUUAUUGCGCUAUUUUUUAUUACAUCAAGGCCAUCUUAACAAGCUUCCUCCAACGGAUCUGAUUAGUCGCUAUGGUUCGCCAAUGACAGAUUUUUAGAGUCCUGAGAUCUGCCUCUGUGCGAUGUCUUCCUCUUUUCCUGGUAUCUUAUAGGUUUGCAAAAAUAAAUAAUUUAUUUAAAAGGGUCCGGACAGCAUCGAUGGUAUUUUUGUAAUCAAAGCUAUAUUGUAAACUAAGCAAGGUUCUCGGUAAACAGAAGAGAAACACCCUCUAAUGACAUUACAAAUUAAUUAUCUAUGAGUUUCCUCGACACUUCUCAUCUGAUAAUUUUGCAAAAUUAUCACUACUUUAGUAUACAAAAAAUAAUGAUUUCAAAUGUAAGAAAUCUGCUUACAUGGCACAUUUGCCUUCUGUUAAGAUAAACAGGAAAAGGGAAACUAUAAAAUUAGCAAAUGUAGUUAACAGCAUAAGAAUUCAAAAGUUACUCUUAGUGAAUAUUAAAUUUAAUUGUAAGCAGUAAAUUCUAAGCAAAAACUCGGCUAAUUAACUAAAAGUUAUAUAAGUGUACAUGAAAUAUAAGAAAAUUUAAUAAAAUUUAUUUAUUCUUUUCAUUUCUGUCAAGUUCAAGGGGUCAAAAUCAUCUGCAUAAUUCUUUUAAAAUCUCCUCUUUUAGAUACAUAAUUUGACUUAGAAUGUCAGAAUUUAUUUCCAUUAUCUUGUUAUAAGAGAUUUAACAGGAGUUUGCUUAGCCUUCGCUAUUUCCAUUUUUAAAUCAAUUUCUACCAAUUAUAUCUUUGUUUAACUAAGUUUCUCUUUCGAUUUUAUGUACACUAAGAAGAGGAGUUAGAAGUAAUUUGCAAUACAAAAUCCAUUUCAUAACAACAAGGAAUAGUAAAGCGUACCCUGUCAAAGAUUAAGGCAUAAUCUUAUUCUUACCCACUUACUCCAAACUGUAGCAUAUCCAUUUGCUAAAAAUAUUAGAUGAUUUUUAUUUUGCAUGCCUCUAAGCAGGAAACAUCCCUGAAGAUUUUACACCGCAUUUUUGAUAUCAAAACACAAAUUGUUUACAUGACCUUGAAAUGACAGUAGCACAAUAAUUCACCCCCCUCAACACAUGACCAAAAAUAAAAACUGAUAAAGUACUUAGUUACAAAAAGAAAUAAUUUAUUUCCUUAAUCAUUUGGAGAAUUUUCUCAAAAACUUGUUUCUACAAGCAACAUAAUAUGAAGUAUUUCAUAUUAAAGCGUUCAUUUUUUUAUUACAAAUUAAACAAUCAACAUGUUUUGGUUCUAGUUUAACUCUCCAGCAUCACAGGUUUAGCUCAGAAAUUUCAGUUUCUCAAAAUGUCAUAAAUUACUGGUAUUUUCUUGAUUAUAGUUAAAAAUGAUUCUCUCACUUUGUAUCUUGAUUCCUUUUCUUCUAAUAUAAAUCCAACCCAAAAUCAGAUAUAUUAAAAGCUGGCAGAAAUUUCCAUGUGUAAUGAAUAUGAAAGCAACCCUUCUGUAUGAAAUUUUCCAUUCAUAACUCUGAGAGGGUUUAAAGUAAAAUAUUCUUAUGUAAUAAAAACUUUUACAAUUUGAGACUGAAA
This 3417-nucleotide unclassified non-coding RNA is filed under the name Stegodyphus dumicola. RNAcentral describes it as "uncharacterized LOC118183524, transcript variant X1". Lineage: Eukaryota; Metazoa; Arthropoda; Arachnida; Araneae; Eresidae. The record is from RNAcentral.